Molecule: transfer RNA, 78 nt
Filed under: Rhizoctonia solani
Lineage: Eukaryota; Fungi; Basidiomycota; Agaricomycetes; Cantharellales; Ceratobasidiaceae
Description: tRNA-Ile
Rfam family: tRNA
About the family: Transfer RNA (tRNA) molecules are approximately 80 nucleotides in length. Their secondary structure includes four short double-helical elements and three loops (D, anti-codon, and T loops).
Source: RNAcentral
GGUUGGCUAGCUCAGUUGGUUAGAGCGUCGAGCUAAUAACCUACUCGAAGGUCGUGGGUUCGACCCCCCCGCUGACCA